This 1508-nucleotide ribosomal RNA is filed under the name gut metagenome. RNAcentral's name for it is "bacterial SSU rRNA". It matches the Rfam family "Bacterial small subunit ribosomal RNA". The record is from RNAcentral.
AGAGUUUGAUCCUGGCUCAGGAUGAACGCUAGCGGCAGGCUUAACACAUGCAAGUCGAAGGGCAACGGGGAGAGUGCUUGCACUCUCUGCCGGCGACUGGCGCACGGGUGAGUAACACGUAUGCAACCUGCCCUCCACAGGGGGACAACCUUCCGAAAGGGAGGCUAAUCCCGCGUAUAUCCCUUGGGGGCAUCCUUGGGGGAGGAAAGGAUUACCGGUGGAGGAUGGGCAUGCGGCGCAUUAGGCAGUAGGCGGGGUAACGGCCCACCUAACCGACGAUGCGUAGGGGUUCUGAGAGGAAGGUCCCCACACUGGUACUGAGACACGGACCAGACUCCUACGGGAGGCAGCAGUGAGGAAUAUUGGUCAAUGGGCGGGAGCCUGAACCAGCCAAGCCGCGUGAAGGAAGAAGGCGCCAAGCGUCGUAAACUUCUUUUGUCGGGGAACAAAGGGCGCCACGUGUGGCGUUGUGAGUGUACCCGAAGAAAAAGCAUCGGCUAACUCCGUGCCAGCAGCCGCGGUAAUACGGAGGAUGCGAGCGUUAUCCGGAUUUAUUGGGUUUAAAGGGUGCGUAGGCGGUCCGGAAAGUCAGCGGUAAAAGCCCGGGGCUCAACCCCGGCGAGCCGUUGAAACUGUCGGACUAGAGACGGCGAGAAGUACGCGGAAUGCGCGGUGUAGCGGUGAAAUGCAUAGAUAUCGCGCAGAACUCCGAUUGCGAAGGCAGCGUACCGGCGCCGGACUGACGCUGAGGCACGAAAGCGUGGGUAUCGAACAGGAUUAGAUACCCUGGUAGUCCACGCAGUAAACGAUGAAUGCCGGCUGUCCGGCCCGGAAAAGGGCUGGGUGGCGAAGCGAAAGCGAUAAGCAUUCCACCUGGGGAGUACGCCGGCAACGGUGAAACUCAAAGGAAUUGACGGGGCCCGCACAAGCGGAGGAACAUGUGGUUUAAUUCGAUGAUACGCGAGGAACCUUACCCGGGCUCAAACGGGAGACGACAGGGGCGGAGACGCCCUCUUCCACGGACGUCUUCCGAGGUGCUGCAUGGUUGUCGUCAGCUCGUGCCGUGAGGUGUCGGCUUAAGUGCCAUAACGAGCGCAACCCCUGCCGACAGUUGCUAACGGGUAGAGCCGAGGACUCUGUCGGGACUGCCGGCGCAAGCCGCGAGGAAGGCGGGGAUGACGUCAAAUCAGCACGGCCCUUACGUCCGGGGCGACACACGUGUUACAAUGGCCGGUACAGCGGGAAGCCAGGCGGCGACGCCGAGCGGAACCCGAAAACCGGUCUCAGUUCGGAUCGGAGUCUGCAACCCGACUCCGUGAAGCUGGAUUCGCUAGUAAUCGCGCAUCAGCCAUGGCGCGGUGAAUACGUUCCCGGGCCUUGUACACACCGCCCGUCAAGCCAUGGGAGCCGGGGGUGCUUGAAGUGCGUCGCCGCGAGGCGCGCCCUAGAGCAAAACCGGUGACUGGGGCUAAGUCGUAACAAGGUAGCCGUACCGGAAGGUGCGGCUG